RNAcentral lists this ribosomal RNA (459 nucleotides) under uncultured bacterium. RNAcentral describes it as "partial 16S ribosomal RNA". It matches the Rfam family "Bacterial small subunit ribosomal RNA", at positions 338 to 795 of the family's 1533-position model. The record is from RNAcentral.
CCUACGGGUGGCAGCAGUGAGGAAUAUUGGUCAAUGGCCGGAAGGCUGAACCAGCCAAGCCGCGUGAAGGACGAAGGUGCCAAGCAUUGUAAACUUCUUUUGUCAAGGGACAAAAUCAGGCUCGAGAGCCUGACCGAGGGUACUUGAAGCAAAAGCAUCGGCUAACUCCGGGCCAGCGGCCGCGGUAAUACGGGGGAUGCGAGCGUUAUCCGGAUUUAUGGGGUUAAAAGGGUGCCUAGGCGGGCGGUUAAGUCGACGGUAAAAGCCCGGGGCUCAACCCCGGCGAGCCGUUGAAACUGGCUGUCUUGAGAUGCCGAGAGGUAUGCGGAAUGCGCGGUGUAGCGGUGAAAUGCUUAGAUAUCGCGCAGAACUCCGAUUGCGAAGGCAGCAUACCGGCGGCGAUCUGACGCUGAGGCACGAAAGCGUGGGUAUCGAACAGGAUUAGAUACCCUUGUAGUC